GCACCACACGGCCACCACUACCGGCCACUAACUCCAGGCCGGCUAACCAGCUAACUACCAGUGCAUGCAUGCGCUAACAACCACACCUAGCAGCCACCAAGUUCGGCCUGGCUAGCUAGCUCCGGCUCUCACGCCUACCCAGCGACACACACGCAUGCCACAAGCACACACAACGCACGCACGCACAUGAACGCAUGGCUUAUUUCUAACA
This 211-nucleotide ribosomal RNA is filed under the name Triticum aestivum (bread wheat). Its description in RNAcentral is "partial small subunit ribosomal RNA". The record is from RNAcentral. Lineage: Eukaryota; Viridiplantae; Streptophyta; Magnoliopsida; Poales; Poaceae.